Molecule: ribosomal RNA, 253 nt
Filed under: uncultured bacterium
Lineage: Bacteria
Description: partial 16S ribosomal RNA
Rfam family: Bacterial small subunit ribosomal RNA
Source: RNAcentral
UACGUAGGGCGCAAGCGUUAUCCGGAAUUAUUGGGCGUAAAGAGCUCGUAGGUGGUUUGUUACGUCCGCUGUGAAAACCUAGGGCUUAACCCUGGGCUUGCAGUGGAUACGGGCAGACUAGAGGUAGGUAGGGGAGAAUGGAAUUCCUGGUGUAGCGGUGAAAUGCGCAGAUAUCAGGAGGAACACCGGUGGCGAAGGCGGUUCUCUGGGCCUUACCUGACACUGAGGAGCGAAAGCGUGGGGAGCGAACAGG